RNAcentral lists this small nuclear RNA (106 nucleotides) under Pteropus vampyrus (large flying fox). The record is from RNAcentral. Lineage: Eukaryota; Metazoa; Chordata; Mammalia; Chiroptera; Pteropodidae.
GUGCUCACUUCGGCAGCAUAUAUACUAAAAGUCGAACAAUACAGAGAAGAUUAGAAUGUCCCUGCACAAGGAUGUCACACAAAUUCAUCAAGCAUUGCAUAUUUCU